RNAcentral lists this ribosomal RNA (738 nucleotides) under Triticum aestivum (bread wheat). Its description in RNAcentral is "partial small subunit ribosomal RNA". Lineage: Eukaryota; Viridiplantae; Streptophyta; Magnoliopsida; Poales; Poaceae. The record is from RNAcentral.
AUGCCCUAUAUAGGCCCGAAGAGGCGUUCCCGAACUCCCGAGAAACCCACCCGAUCGGUUAAAGAAAAAAACCCACCCCACCCACUUCCCACGACUCCCUCCCCUACCCUCUCCCGAUCCCCUCUGCACACUCCUCCUCACGGCAGCGCGUCGCCGUCGAAGAACUUCUCCCGAUCCACCGCCGCCGCCCCGCAUCCCGUCGGCGCACCGCCCUGCGUCCCGCAACCCGUCGCCGCACCGUCCCUCGUCCCGCCGCCGCAACCAUGCCCCCAAGCUUCGCCUGCAUCCCAUGCUCAAGCCCACCCGUGUACUUUGUUCAGGCAACAUGAAGUCGAGCGGCGCGUACGCGAAGUUGCUGUUGUACCUGAGAGCAGUGUGCUCGUGGGAGGCGCGGGAGCCCGCGCGGAGGGUGCUGCAGAGGGCCACAGCUUCGUGCUCAGCCUCCGGGAGGGGCAGGAGGUGGCAGACGACUUCAAGGGCGUCACCAUGUCGUGGUCGACGAUGGCGGAGGAGAAGACGACGUGGUUCUACGAGCGGCACCGCCAGCUCGUCGUCGAUGAGUACCUGCCGUACGUCCGCCGCGCCGGGCAUGAGGUCACGUUCCGCAACCGUCCUUGCGGGCUCUACUCCAACAAGAAGGAGCUCAGCUACCAGCCUACCACUCUAGGAGGGACGAGGUGUGGAACAGUCCAACUUCCCUUGUAUACUCACAUGAUCACUGGACACUCUGUUUCUUAG